UUACAAAAGACCCCGGCUGUGCCAGAAACCAUGCUUUACUGCCCCUGACAUUCAUGCUUCUGUGGAUCUCUGGUUUCAAGCCGGCUGGAUUUCAUCAGCAUCACAGGCUGUUGUCUAGGCUACGGAUACAAGCAAGGGCUUGGAUUUCUGUUUUGCUGGGUUACCUUCCCUCCAAUGCAAGUACCCAUAAGGGAUUGCUCUGCUGAGCUCCAACCUCGUCUGCA
RNAcentral lists this long non-coding RNA (224 nucleotides) under Homo sapiens (human). RNAcentral describes it as "HSALNT0125898". Lineage: Eukaryota; Metazoa; Chordata; Mammalia; Primates; Hominidae. The record is from RNAcentral.